CUGGGAGUCAGAGUCAGCUGAGCUGGGCUCUGAGACUCGGUGCUGUGGGUUGUUUAUCACAGUAUAUGUAUUAUAAUUGUGGCCAUGAAAUCUUAUGCGCCUAUUACUGCCUCUCUCAGAAUAAAGAAUCAGGUCAGAGAGCACCCAUCUGAGGUUAGCUGUUUCAGGGAGAGGAAGUUAAUUCUGUCCUGGACAGAAGGCUGCAGUAUUGAUGUUUCUUUUGUUUUUGCUGUGUGUUUGUUUUAAAACAGGAGAAAGCAACUCAUCCUGGAGGCCCUGGGAAUAUCAUGGAUGAGAUUGGUCUGAAAUGACUGUUCAGUCUGAGGCUGAUCAAAUCUAGAGGGGUUCCUGCUCCGGUUCCCGGUGUGUGCAGUGGCAGCUUGCAGAAGUAGUGACAUCACAGCCUUCCUGAAAAAGCCCUGGAGUAACAUGAAGAAGAGGAGGCUCUUCCUAAGCAUGGCAGAGAGGGGGAUGCUGCACAUUUGACAUUGUAUUUACUUUAAAAAAAAAAAGGCAACAACCCAAUCUCCCCGGGGAGGCCAGGUCAGACACAUUUGCUGUUUCUUGAGAAUAAACUUUCCAAUAUGUUUGUACAGCUGCAUACUUAAUCCACUCUAAAAUUCAGUCACUGCAGGCUGACUGAUUGCUUCAGUGGAAGCCCUGUUUCCUGUUCCUCAAAGAGGGCAGCUUCUCCCAGGCUCCCUGUGGCUGGUACAGUGCUCAGCACUGGCAGGAGAGAGCAACAUUUACAAUAAAAAAAGCUACUGUCUCAAGAAACCCUCA
This is a non-coding RNA of Chrysemys picta bellii (western painted turtle), 783 nucleotides long. NCBI's taxonomy places the organism in Eukaryota, Metazoa, Chordata, Testudines, Emydidae. The record is from RefSeq and is a predicted model, not a curated record.